This 208-nucleotide long non-coding RNA is filed under the name Elaeis guineensis (African oil palm). RNAcentral's name for it is "long non-coding RNA (EGUI_LNC006323)". The record is from RNAcentral. Lineage: Eukaryota; Viridiplantae; Streptophyta; Magnoliopsida; Arecales; Arecaceae.
GCCACUUGAAAGGAGGGAGAGAGAGAGAGAGAGAAGAUGGGAAGGAAGAGACAAUUGGAGACUCAUGCAACCCUAUACCCAUGUGCAAAAGAUCUCUCUAAUGGAGACGAGUGCCAAAAUAGUUAAAGGUUCUUGCUGCAUCAUUCCUCAUCAUUUCUGUGCUAUUUAACUUAGAGCCGGUACCGCACCUCCUAAGAUUAGAGUAGAG